RNAcentral lists this ribosomal RNA (1299 nucleotides) under uncultured bacterium. Its description in RNAcentral is "bacterial SSU rRNA". It matches the Rfam family "Bacterial small subunit ribosomal RNA", at positions 114 to 1399 of the family's 1533-position model. The record is from RNAcentral.
CACGUGGGUAACUUGCCCAAGAGACUGGGGAUAACACCUGGAAACAGAUGCUAAUACCGGAUAACAACACUAGACGCAUGUCUAGAGUUUGAAAGAUGGUUCUGCUAUCACUCUUGGAUGGGACCUGCGGUGCAUUAGCUAGUUGGUAAGGUAACGGCUUACCAAGGCAAUGAUGCAUAGCCGAGUUGAGAGACUGAUCGGCCACAUUGGGACUGAGACACGGCCCAAACUCCUACGGGAGGCAGCAGUAGGGAAUCUUCCACAAUGGACGAAAGUCUGAUGGAGCAACGCCGCGUGAGUGAAGAAGGGUUUCGGCUCGUAAAGCUCUGUUGGUAGUGAAGAAAGAUAGAGGUAGUAACUGGCCUUUAUUUGACGGUAAUUACUUAGAAAGUCACGGCUAACUACGUGCCAGCAGCCGCGGUAAUACGUAGGUGGCAAGCGUUGUCCGGAUUUAUUGGGCGUAAAGCGAGUGCAGGCGGUUCAAUAAGUCUGAUGUGAAAGACUUCGGCUCAACCGGAGAAUUGCAUCAGAAACUGUUGAACUUGAGUGCAGAAGAGGAGAGUGGAACUCCAUGUGUAGCGGUGGAAUGCGUAGAUAUAUGGAAGAACACCAGUGGCGAAGGCGGCUCUCUGGUCUGCAACUGACGCUGAGGCUCGAAAGCAUGGGUAGCGAACAGGAUUAGAUACCCUGGUAGUCCAUGCCGUAAACGAUGAGUGCUAAGUGUUGGGAGGUUUCCGCCUCUCAGUGCUGCAGCUAACGCAUUAAGCACUCCGCCUGGGGAGUACGACCGCAAGGUUGAAACUCAAAGGAAUUGACGGGGGCCCGCACAAGCGGUGGAGCAUGUGGUUUAAUUCGAAGCAACGCGAAGAACCUUACCAGGUCUUGACAUCCAGUGCAAACCUAAGAGAUUAGGUGUUCCCUUCGGGGACGCUGAGACAGGUGGUGCAUGGCUGUCGUCAGCUCGUGUCGUGAGAUGUUGGGUUAAGUCCCGCAACGAGCGCAACCCUUGUCAUUAGUUGCCAUCAUUAAGUUGGGCACUCUAGUGAGACUGCCGGUGACAAACCGGAGGAAGGUGGGGACGACGUCAGAUCAUCAUGCCCCUUAUGACCUGGGCUACACACGUGCUACAAUGGACGGUACAACGAGUCGCAAGCUCGCGAGAGUAAGCUAAUCUCUUAAAGCCGUUCUCAGUUCGGACUGUAGGCUGCAACUCGCCUACACGAAGUCGGAAUCGCUAGUAAUCGCGGAUCAGCAUGCCGCGGUGAAUACGUUCCCGGGCCUUGCACUCACCGCCCGUCA